RNAcentral lists this ribosomal RNA (448 nucleotides) under uncultured bacterium. RNAcentral's name for it is "bacterial SSU rRNA". It matches the Rfam family "Bacterial small subunit ribosomal RNA", at positions 355 to 825 of the family's 1533-position model. The record is from RNAcentral.
UCGGGAAUUUUGGGCAAUGGGGGAAACCCUGACCCAGCAACGCCGCGUGAAGGAUGAAGUAUUUCGGUAUGUAAACUUCGAAAGAAUAGGAAGAAUAAAUGACGGUACUAUUUAUAAGGUCCGGCUAACUACGUGCCAGCAGCCGCGGUAAUACGUAGGGACCAAGCGUUGUUCGGAUUUACUGGGCGUAAAGGGCGCGUAGGCGGCAUGACAAGUCACUUGUGAAAUCUCUGGGCUUAACUCCGGGCGUGCAGGCGAUACGGGCAUAACUUGAGUGCUGUAGGGGUAACUGGAAUUCCUGGUGUAGCGGUGAAAUGCGCAGAUAUCAGGAGGAACACCGAUGGCGAAGGCAGGUUACUGGGCAGUUACUGACGCUGAGGAGCGAAAGCAUGGGUAGCGAACAGGAUUAGAUACCCUAGUAGUCCCUGAGCGGGCUGGCAAGGCGCAU